Molecule: RNA transcript, 3030 nt
Organism: Enhydra lutris kenyoni (northern sea otter)
Lineage: Eukaryota; Metazoa; Chordata; Mammalia; Carnivora; Mustelidae
Gene name: zinc finger protein 501-like
Exons: 2
Source: RefSeq, a predicted model, not a curated record
UUCAGGUUCUGAGGAAUUACACAGUGGAGAGUGCAGGGAAAACACUGGUUUUACAGGGUGGACGUGGCAAAGAUGGUCUCAGUGGAGGUCUGGCCCUCAAGAGUGUCAGCUGGGGGAGGGCAUGACAUCAGGGCUGUGUUCACAUCAUCCUGGCGACUUGCCAUGUGUUCAGUAGUGUUUUGGUGCAGGUACCACCAGCCACGUGUUGUUUCUACCUUUUCUUCUGCAUACUUAACACUUUGCUGACUUGUCAUUUCACCUGAGACUUGCAGCUCCUUACACCCUUGUGGCCUUCCUGGGCUUCCGGUUCCUCUGCACUCCUCCCUUUACGAUGUCCUCCAACAGUGACAUGCACGUGGUGUCAGGAGGUGUGCACAUUUCCUUACGUCAUCCUUGAACCUGCUCUUCAGGUCCAGCUGAGUUUUAUCGGGACAGGCCACAGCCAGCCUCCCACACAGUGUGCCCGUGUCGCUGGCAGAUAAGGUCCAACUGGAGGAGGAAUGAGGAGGCAGGGGCCCUUCCUCUAUGUGGUACACCCUAUGCUUGUGUCUUGUCUGUUGAGGUAUCUUCUGGUCUCUUCAGAGGCUUAAUACUGCUAAGCAGCCCCUACCUCAACCUGCCCCCAGCUGCCUUGUUCUCGGAGCAAUCACCUGGACGCAACUUGUUGUGUCAGACACACCUUUGAAAUGGGGCUUCCCCCCUUCCACCGAAGUCAAUGUGCAUUUCUUCAGCAUUUCUGCUUUCAUGUUGUAGGCAUGGGAUGAGGAGGCCCCUUCUGAGCAGGCUGUCUGUAGGAGAGUCCCAGAUCAGGGCUUCUCAGGCAGGUCUGUCCACACAGAUCAGUCCUGUGAGAUGUGUAUUCCAGUGUCGAAAGAUACUUCACACCAUUGCUGCGUGCCAAACAGUAUACCCUUGGCAGAAACCAUACUUGGGUGCCCCAUGUGUGAGAUGCUUCUCUUUCCAUACAGACCUUCACCAGCAACAGAGGCAUGGCAGUCAGGAGAAGCCCUGGAAAAGAGAUGUGGACAGGGCCUUAUGUGUGACAAGCUGCAACUUCUGUAUGUCAGGGCAGCCUUUCACAUGUAGGAAGGUUGGAGAGAGCUCCCCAGCCACCUUGAAACAUCUUCAGCUCCAGACCAGUUCCAACACUGAGGAGCCACACGGUGGCAACCAGAGUGGGGAGGCCUGUCGCAGCGGGAAAAGUCAGUACAAUGGGGGUCAGUGUGGAAAAGCUAACAGCCACAACCAUGCACUUGAUCAACAUUGGAGUGUCUGCUCCGGAGAAGGGCUUUAUGAGGGGGGCAAGUGUGGGAAAGCCUUCAGCUGCAACUACAGACUUGUGCAGCACCAGCGAAUUCACACUGAACGAAGGCCAUAUGAGUGUGGUGAAUGUGGGAAAUUCUUUAGCCAGAAAUCCAACCUUAUCGAACACCAUAGAGUUCACACUAGAGAAAGGCCUUAUGAGUGUACUGAAUGUGGGAAAUCCUUUAGACAAAGCUCUAGCCUUUUCUGACACCAGAGAGUUCACACUGGAGAAAGGCCAUAUAAUUGCAGCGAACGUGGGAAAUCCUUUGGACAGAUCUUUGACCUCAUUCGACAUGGGAGAGUUCACAGUGGAGAAAUGCCUUAUAAGUGCAGUGAAUGUGGGAAGUCCUUUGGACAGUUCUCUAACCUCAUUCAACACCGGAGUGUUCAUACUGGAAAAAGGCCUUUUGGGUGCAGUGUUUGUGGGAAAUCCUUUAGCCGCAAAUUUAUCCUUAUUCAACAUCAGAGAGUUCACACUGGAGAAAGACCUUAUGAGUGCAAUGAAUGUAGAAAAUCCUUUACCCGAAAAUCUGACCUCAUUCAACACCAGUGGAUUCAUACUGGCACAAGACCUUAUGAGUGCAGUGAAUGUGAGAAAUCUUUUAGGCAAUGGUCUGUCCUCAUUCAACACCAGAGAGUUCAUUCUGGAGAAAAGCCAUAUGAGUGUGGGGAAUGUGGGAAAUCCUUUAGCCAAAAUGCUAGCCUUAUUCAACACCAGAGGGUUCACACUGGAGAAAGACCUUAUGAAUGCAGCGAAGGUGGGAAAUCUUUUAGCCACAAAUCUAACCUCCUCAGACACAGGAGAGUUCACACUGGAGAAAACCCUUGAAUGUGAGGUACAUUAGAAUUCUUUGUAUUAUUGCCAAGUAGCAUUCUCUUCUAUGGAUAAUGGCUUUAUCCGUGCAUCUGUUCUGGACAUACAGGUUAUUUCCAGGUUUGGGGUGUUUACAAAUAAAGCUCCUGUGAAUAUUUACAUUCAUUUCUUUAUGUGGCUAUGUUUUAUUUCUCUUGUUGUAAUAACUGAAACUGCCAGAGUGGAGGUGAGUGUUUCACAUUCUAAGAAGUGGGAAACUGAUCUAUAAUGGUUAUGCUCUUUGGCCUUCCCACCAGUAGCACAUGUCAAUUCAAGUUCCGUGACAUCCUUGAAACAAGUAUGUAGUGGUAAAUCACUUUGGUUUUAAUUCCAUAUCCCAAAGUGUUCGUGAUAUUGAGCAUUUGUCAUUUAUUUGUUCUAUGUUUAUCUUUGAUAAAAUGUGUGCUUACAAUCUUUUGCCUGUUUUCUUUUUAUGUACUUCUGUAUUUCUUACAUGGAACAAUUGUUUUUGAGUACUAGAAAAUUUUUCUCCCUCAACUUUUUGUCCUUCUCACAACUGAAAGCCCACAUGCUCCAGACUUAUGAAUAUGUUAAUGUGCAUCAGCAUAUUCUCCUCUGCUUUCUUAACUUAGUAACACAUUAAAUCAGGCCUAGGUUUUAAUCUUUGGCAACCCCUGGUUGCCAUGGUAACCCUCAUGGUAAAUGUCAGAUUGCCGAGGUGAUGUCACUGAACACGGAGUUGGUAAAAUAUUCCAGUAGCAACUCAUUGUGUUUCUGUUCCCAAAGUACUGAGAGCGUGACCAUAGAUAACUUUAAGAACAUAGGUAGUAAAACUGUAAAAUGACCAGUAAGUGGCAAGUUUUGAAUAUUUGUGGGUGUUUUUGUUUUUUUAUUUUUGUUUUUUAAAGAUU